UACGUAGGGGGCAAGCGUUGUCCGGAUUUAUUGGGCGUAAAGCGCACGUAGGCGGAUUGUUAAGUCAGGGGUGAAAUCCUGGAGCUCAACUCCAGAACUGCCUUUGAUACUGGCGAUCUUGAGUCCGGGAGAGGUGAGUGGAACUGCGAGUGUAGAGGUGAAAUUCGUAGAUAUUCGCAAGAACACCAGUGGCGAAGGCGGCUCACUGGCCCGGUACUGACGCUGAGGUGCGAAAGCGUGGGGAGCAAACAGG
RNAcentral lists this ribosomal RNA (253 nucleotides) under uncultured bacterium. RNAcentral's name for it is "partial 16S ribosomal RNA". It matches the Rfam family "Bacterial small subunit ribosomal RNA", at positions 524 to 776 of the family's 1533-position model. The record is from RNAcentral.